Molecule: long non-coding RNA, 277 nt
Organism: Phacochoerus africanus (Common warthog)
Lineage: Eukaryota; Metazoa; Chordata; Mammalia; Artiodactyla; Suidae
Exons: 5
Source: RefSeq, a predicted model, not a curated record
CAACUGCGUCUUGGGAGCCCUGAAAUGCAGCGCACAGCAUCAAAAGGCUGCUGGAGGAAAAACAGCGUUUGAAAUACACACGGCCAGAAGGAAUAUAUUACAAAAUCAUUUUCAUUUUGAAGAAGUAAUCAGAAUACAGAGCCGAGAAAGAAGUCUACCCCCAAAAGAGCAAGCACCACAAAACUGGAUCUUCCCCUGUUCCUUAGGCUGAAGUGAUUCUUCUCAAAAGCAAUACAUUCUCAGAGUUCCCAUUGUGACUCAAAGGAAACGAAUCUGA